This 253-nucleotide ribosomal RNA is filed under the name uncultured bacterium. RNAcentral describes it as "partial 16S ribosomal RNA". It matches the Rfam family "Bacterial small subunit ribosomal RNA", at positions 524 to 776 of the family's 1533-position model. The record is from RNAcentral.
UACGUAGGGUGCGAGCGUUGUCCGGAUUUAUUGGGCGUAAAGAGCUCGUAGGCGGUUUGUCACGUCUGCUGUGAAAACUCGGGGCUUAACUCCGGGCCUGCAGUGGGUACGGGCAGACUAGAGUGCGGUAGGGGAGACUGGAAUUCCUGGUGUAGCGGUGGAAUGCGCAGAUAUCAGGAGGAACACCGGUGGCGAAGGCGGGUCUCUGGGCCGUAACUGACGCUGAGGAGCGAAAGCAUGGGGAGCGAACAGG